This is a long non-coding RNA of Varroa destructor (honeybee mite), 1062 nucleotides long. RefSeq lists it as uncharacterized. The record is from RefSeq and is a predicted model, not a curated record. Lineage: Eukaryota; Metazoa; Arthropoda; Arachnida; Mesostigmata; Varroidae.
CCAAAAAAUACUACAACUCUAUCAAAUUAGACACAAAAAAAAAAUGCUAGUUCUAAUCUUUAUGUCGCCAGUACGACGAUUAAACAUUCAAAUUGCCAUGUGAAGACACGGACGUUUAACACCCUAACGGACCGGAUUUGAAACCAUGCCUCUUGCAGACUGCUGAAUGAUGUUCUUGCAUUGUGGGGUCGCACAGCGGAUCGUUGUUUGGCUUAGUGACGGAAGUAUUCCUACAGGGUACUGAUUAAUCAAGACGGCGGUACGUAUGGAGCGAAUCGGCCAUAGGUUCCCUUUGCGUCCCUCGCUUGAGCCCUAGUAGCCAUAGAGUUCAACAUUAUUCUUCUAUUCCAGCAAACAUCAAUCGGCAUACUUGCAUGCAUCAGAGAAAAUUUUCCUUUGCCAUACACGGCAAGCGGAUUCCGUCACGCCCAGUAGGGUCAUAGAAGGUGAGGUUAUUUGGCCUUUGUGUACAUUCUGACUCUUCUGACUUAGCUAUUUACAUCAGGUCGACCUAAGUUUUUUAGCGCCUAAUGCCGUCGAAAGUACGGUGUAAUUUUGAAGGACUAUGCCGCCCAGCAGGGAAACGACUCCAGAGCAUAGACAGCCCAAAACAUCGAUUAUAAACAUCAACUGUACGACAGUCGCGUGCGAUAGGGAACCGAUGUAAGUGUACAGGUGGAAAACGUGUCUGUUUCUAUCCCGAGUCCAAACGUCGCUUUAAAGAGAGAGGGAUAUCUGAGCCACACUUUCAGCCGACUAGAACAAGCACUCCAGUCAAAUUUGCUUGUUCAAUAUCAGGAAGGUCUGCGGUUCCAGAUAUAGACGCUAUAGAUGCGAUCAUUAUGGUGUACUCAAUCUAGCUUUUUUCUCCAUGCUGAGGCCUACUCAUUGACGUCGGCCACGAGUUCAUUAUGUAAAAUUGUAUUAAAUAUGAAGUCAAAGCCUAUUUUUCUAACCAAUAUGCUACGUUUGAUAGCUGAUUAUAUGCGUAUUACCCUAUGAGAAAGCACGCUGCCUUUAGCAACGUUACCGAAACUAAAAAUAUUUUUGUCCUUAUGUGAU